GUGGGGAAUAUUCCGCAAUGGACGAAAGUCUGACGGAGCAACGCCGCGUGAGUGAUGAAGGUUUUCGGACUGUAAAGCUCUGUUGUUUAGGACGAAAGUGCCUGUUGCAAACAGUUACAGGUAUUGACGGUACUAAACGAGGAAGCCACGGCUAACUACGUGCCAGCAGCCGCGGUAAUACGUAGGUGGCAAGCGUUGUCCGGAAUUAUUGGGCGUAAAGAGCAUGUAGGCGGGAAUCUAAGUCUGUUGUGAAAAUGCGGGGCUCAACCCCGUAUUGCGAUGGAAACUGGGUUUCUUGAGUGCAGGAGAGGAAAGGGGAAUUCCCAGUGUAGCGGUGAAAUGCGUAGAUAUUGGGAGGAACACCAGUGGCGAAGGCGCCUUUCUGGACUGUGUCUGACGCUGAGAUGCGAAAGCUAGGGGAGCGAACGGGAUUAGAUACCCGGGUAGUCC
RNAcentral lists this ribosomal RNA (450 nucleotides) under uncultured bacterium. Its description in RNAcentral is "partial 16S ribosomal RNA". It matches the Rfam family "Bacterial small subunit ribosomal RNA", at positions 354 to 796 of the family's 1533-position model. The record is from RNAcentral.